This 783-nucleotide non-coding RNA is filed under the name Pan troglodytes (chimpanzee). Lineage: Eukaryota; Metazoa; Chordata; Mammalia; Primates; Hominidae. The record is from RNAcentral.
GAGAGAGAGAAAAAAAAAAAUGUUUCAGAGGAAGGAGCCCCUGCCUUCUGGUGAAGAGUAUUCAAGAUGAAGAUAAACUUUUCAACUUAAUAUCGAGACUUUGAUAGCAGAAGGCAUCUACUCUUGAAAGUCCAAAAAAUGUUGUUGCUAUAGGAACAGACUCGGUGAACAAGACAUGUGAGAAGAGAAGGUCAAAGACCCAGCUGCACUUCUGCUUCACUGCUGAACUUCUGCUUCUUCCUAUCAGGGAAUACACUGCUCCUCACAUUAGGGAUUUCCUAAAAUUGUUAGGUGUUUUGAACAGAACUGGCUAUACCAAUGAGGCUCAAACAAGAAUCAUAAAGUGCAUGGUGCUUCUCUCCCUCUCUGUUUUCUUUAAAAAGAAAACAUUCUUGACAAGAUGAAUACAAUAUUUUCAUUCUAGCAAAUUUCUGCUGUCAGAGGUUAUAUUUACAGGAUAGAGAGAUUUCUCAAACAUGACCUUUUCUCGUGUAAUACCAGAGUGAAAUUUUAGAGAAGUCUGUGUGUGUGUGUGUGUGUGUGUGUGUGUGUGUGUGUCUCGCAGGCUGAGAAGUGGGAUGGGAAGAAGGGAAUGUGGCUAGAAUCUUACCAUCUCAUUCUCUUCUCCUUCAUUGAGCAGAGCGUGCUGGCCCUUCUCAAAGUGUCCCAUGAAAAGGUUAUUCCACACCUCCUCCCUGACCUUGCCGGGCAGACGCUUCCAGGAUGAACUCCAACUCUCCGAGCCACCGCAGCUCCUCAGCUGACUAAAAGAGUUAAUGAUCC